GUAGGAACAACACACCACAGUCCACAAGGCGCGCCCGCAUCUACACUCGCACUAAAAGCAGCAGAUGCUCACUACGCUAACGCCUACCUUGUGCGCUUUACUGCUCCAUUUACUCCCGCAGAGGUGAACGGGCGCCUUUCGUUUUUCUGCUUCACUUCUCGGAAGCAGAGGUCGACCGAGCUGAUCUCCGCAUCCCGUUUCCUGUUCAUCAGAGAGAAGCUAGUUAAUGGCCGCCAGCGAGAGAAACGAGUCUUCGGCGGCGCCAUUGCUGGCAGCAGCGAGGGAGAGAAAACUCUGCAAGGAAGGGUGCCCAGGAUGCAGGCUGGACGAGAUCAACAAGAGCAAGACCGGCAUCCCCUACCUCAACUUCUUCUACGUGUGGGUCGUCUGUCUCUGCGCCGCUCUACCGAUCCAGUCACUGUUUCCCUAUCUAUACUUCAUGAUUAGGGACUUGGAAGUCGCAAAGCAAGAGCAAGACAUUGGGUUCUAUGCUGGUUUUGUUGGGGCUGCUUAUUUCCUUGGAAGAACCAUCAGUGCUGUGCCAUGGGGCAUUUUUGCUGACAAAUAUGGGAGGAAGCCUUGCAUUGUUAUCAGUAUCCUCUCAGUGAUCGUAUUUAACACCCUUUUCGGCCUUAGCACGACUUACUGGAUGGCAAUUGUAACUAGGGGGCUACUUGGGUUACUCUGUGGUAUAUUAGGACCAAUCAAGGCCUAUGCUUCAGAAGUCUGCAGAAAAGAGCACCAAGCACUAGGAAUUUCUCUUGUUACAUCUUCACGAGCAAUAGCUCUUGUUAUUGGACCAGCCAUUGGAGGAUUUCUUGCACAGCCUGCAAAGAAGUACCCGAAUCUUUUCUCUGAGGAAUCCAUAUUUGGAAGGUUUCCAUACUUCCUCCCUUGCUUCGUCAUAUCGGUUCUAGCAGCAGGAGCAUGUCUUGCAUGCAUUUGGCUCCCGGAAACUCUGCACAUGUACCAUGAUGACAAAGUGGAAGCUAUUGAGGAAAUGGAGGCGCAAGUUGCUGAUUCGACCUCAGAAGACAGGAAUGCUAAACAAUCUGGAUCAGGCAGAAUGGCAUCCACAAAGAACCUGCUAAAGAACUGGCAGUUGAUGUCAGCAAUAACCCUCUACUGUGUGUUUUCUCUCCAUGAUACAGCUUAUCUUGAGAUAUUUUCACUCUGGGCUGUGAGCAGCAGAAAAUACCGGGGACUGAGUUUUACAUCCCAGGAGGUUGGUACCGUGCUAACUAUCUCAGGUUUUGGUGUUUUGGUAUAUCAACUUCUGAUUUACCCGCUCCUUGCCAAGUAUGCUGGGCUAGUCAAGCCAUUCCGUUCUGCAGCGGUAUUAUCUAUACUUCUCCUUGCAACAUAUCCAUUCAUGGCUAACCUAUAUGGUGUGGAGCUCAAAGUACUCAUCAACAUAGCCUCGCUUCUUAAGAAUAUGUUUGCGGCUACGAUUACUAUUGCAUGCAACAUUCUGCAGAACACAGCGGUGGCACAAGAACAAAGGGGUGUCGCAAAUGGUAUAUCUGUGACUCUGAUGUCAAUCUUCAAAGCAGUAGCCCCAGCGGCAGCAGGAAUUCUGUUUUCAUGGGCUCAGAAGAACAUAACUGGAUUGUUCAUACCAGGUGAUCAGAUCCUGUUCUGGAUGCUGAACAUGGUGUCAGUAAUCGGGCUCUCGCUGACGUUCAAGCCAUUUUUCUCUAUGCCGAGUGCGCUGAAAUGAUGAGCACACAAUUAUGUUCAUCCAGCUAGUUAAGUAAAGUUAGGGACACACCACAGUUUGCAGCCCUGGAUAAAAAAAAACCGCGUCAUGUAUUGUGUCACAUAUAUUUUUCAUAUGUUUUUGGUUGUGUGAUCAGAUGUGGCAAGAUAUCUUUUUUGUUGUUGUCAAAACUCCUACGCACAAGGUGCUUUGGUUCCUGGUAAGAAGACCAAUAUUGUUUUGGUGGAUUGUUAAUAUAAGAC
Molecule: ribosomal RNA, 1962 nt
Filed under: Triticum aestivum (bread wheat)
Lineage: Eukaryota; Viridiplantae; Streptophyta; Magnoliopsida; Poales; Poaceae
Description: partial small subunit ribosomal RNA
Source: RNAcentral